This 468-nucleotide ribosomal RNA is filed under the name uncultured bacterium. RNAcentral's name for it is "partial 16S ribosomal RNA". It matches the Rfam family "Bacterial small subunit ribosomal RNA", at positions 28 to 507 of the family's 1533-position model. The record is from RNAcentral.
GACGGACGCUGGCGGCGUGCUUAACACAUGCAAGUCGAACGGAAAGGCCCUGCUUUUGUGGGGUGCUCGAGUGGCGAACGGGUGAGUAACACGUGAGUAACCUGCCCUUGACUUUGGGAUAACUUCAGGAAACUGGGGCUAAUACCGGAUAGGAGCUCCUGCUGCAUGGUGGGGGUUGGAAAGUUUCGGCGGUUGGGGAUGGACUCGCGGCUUAUCAGCUUGUUGGUGUGGUAGUGUCUUACCAAGGCUUUGACGGGUAGCCGGCCUGGGAGGGUGACAGGCUACAUUGGGACUGAGAUACGGCACAGACUCCAACGGGACGCAGCAGUGGGGAAUAUUGCACAAUGGGCUGAAGCCUGAUGCAGCAACGCCGCGUGCGGUAUGACGGCCUUCGGUUUGUAAACCGCUUUCGCCUGUGACGAAGCGUGAGUGACGGUAAUGGGUAAAGAAGCACCGGCUAACUACGUG